AGAGACAGCAGUAGCCGCGGUAAUACGAAGGGUGCAAGCGUUAAUCGGAAUUACUGGGCGUAAAGCGUGCGUAGGCGGUUUGUUAAGUCUGUUGUGAAAUCCCCGGGCUCAACCUGGGAAUGGCAAUGGAUACUGGCAAGCUAGAGUGUGUCAGAGGAUGGUGGAAUUCCCGGUGUAGCGGUGAAAUGCGUAGAGAUCGGGAGGAACAUCAGUGGCGAAGGCGACUAUCUGGGCCAACACUGACACUGAGGCACGAAAGCGUGGGGAGCAAACAGGAUUAGAUACCCGAGUAGUCCCUGUCUCUUAUAC
This 309-nucleotide ribosomal RNA is filed under the name uncultured bacterium. Its description in RNAcentral is "partial 16S ribosomal RNA". It matches the Rfam family "Bacterial small subunit ribosomal RNA", at positions 504 to 807 of the family's 1533-position model. The record is from RNAcentral.